This 253-nucleotide ribosomal RNA is filed under the name uncultured bacterium. RNAcentral's name for it is "partial 16S ribosomal RNA". It matches the Rfam family "Bacterial small subunit ribosomal RNA", at positions 524 to 776 of the family's 1533-position model. The record is from RNAcentral.
UACGUAGAGUGCGAGCGUUGUCCGGAAUUACUGGGCGUAAAGAGCUCGUAGGUGGUUUGUCGCGUUGUUCGUGAAAACUCACAGCUCAACUGUGGGCGUGCGGGCGAUACGGGCAGACUGGAGUACUGCAGGGGAGACUGGAAUUCCUGGUGUAGCGGUGGAAUGCGCAGAUAUCAGGAGGAACACCGGUGGCGAAGGCGGGUCUCUGGGCAGUAACUGACGCUGAGGAGCGAAAGCGUGGGGAGCGAACAGG